UCCACCGAUUGACUAAGGUUUCCAGAGGAAGGCUCGUCCGCUCUGGGUUAGUCGGGUCCUAAGCUGAGGCCGACAGGCGUAGGCGAUGGAUAACAGGUUGAUAUUCCUGUACCACCUAUAAUCGUUUUAAUCGAUGGGGGGACGCAGUAGGAUAGGCGAAGCGUGCGAUUGGAUUGCACGUCUAAGCAGUAAGGCUGAGUAUUAGGCAAAUCCGGUACUCGUUAAGGCUGAGCUGUGAUGGGGAGAAGACAUUGUGUCUUCGAGUCGUUGAUUUCACACUGCCGAGAAAAGCCUCUAGAUAGAAAAUAGGUGCCCGUACCGCAAACCGACACAGGUAGUCAAGAUGAGAAUUCUAAGGUGAGCGAGCGAACUCUCGUUAAGGAACUCGGCAAAAUGACCCCGUAACUUCGGGAGAAGGGGUGCUCUUUAGGGUUAACGCCCAGAAGAGCCGCAGUGAAUAGGCCCAAGCGACUGUUUAUCAAAAACACAGGUCUCUGCUAAACCGUAAGGUGAUGUAUAGGGGCUGACGCCUGCCCGGUGCUGGAAGGUUAAGAGGAGUGGUUAGCUUCUGCGAAGCUACGAAUCGAAGCCCCAGUAAACGGCGGCCGUAACUAUAACGGUCCUAAGGUAGCGAAAUUCCUUGUCGGGUAAGUUCCGACCCGCACGAAAGGCGUAACGAUUUGGGCACUGUCUCAACGAGAGACUCGGUGAAAUCAUAGUACCUGUGAAGAUGCAGGUUACCCGCGACAGGACGGAAAGACCCCGUGGAGCUUUACUGUAGCCUGAUAUUGAAAUUCGGCACAGCUUGUACAGGAUAGGU
RNAcentral lists this ribosomal RNA (820 nucleotides) under Staphylococcus aureus. RNAcentral's name for it is "partial 23S ribosomal RNA". It matches the Rfam family "Bacterial large subunit ribosomal RNA", at positions 1333 to 2148 of the family's 2925-position model. Lineage: Bacteria; Bacillati; Bacillota; Bacilli; Caryophanales; Staphylococcaceae. The record is from RNAcentral.